CAGUGAGUGGGGGCUAGAUGGUGACUGGCAGUAAUCUGAUACUGAGGUGAGGCGGGGAUAGUGGGUAGGGGUUCCCCUGGGUGGGGAGACCCAGAAACUGUGGGGAUUACUGCCAGGAGCAG
Molecule: long non-coding RNA, 122 nt
Organism: Gopherus evgoodei (Goodes thornscrub tortoise)
Lineage: Eukaryota; Metazoa; Chordata; Testudines; Testudinidae
Exons: 3
Source: RefSeq, a predicted model, not a curated record